RNAcentral lists this ribosomal RNA (395 nucleotides) under uncultured bacterium. RNAcentral describes it as "bacterial SSU rRNA". It matches the Rfam family "Bacterial small subunit ribosomal RNA", at positions 355 to 767 of the family's 1533-position model. The record is from RNAcentral.
UGGGGAAUAUUGGACAAUGGGGGAAACCCUGAUCCAGCAAUGCCGCGUGAGUGAAGAAGGCCUUAGGGUUGUAAAGCUCUUUCGCCCGCGAAGAUAAUGACGGUAGCGGGAGAAGAAGCCCCGGCUAACUCCGUGCCAGCAGCCGCGGUAAUACGGAGGGGGCUAGCGUUGUUCGGAAUUACUGGGCGUAAAGCGUACGUAGGCGGAUGCGCAGGUUGGGGGUGAAAUCCCGGGGCUUAACCUCGGAAUUGCCCUCAAAACUGCACGUCUUGAGACCGAGAGAGGUAAGGGGAAUUCCUAGUGUAGAGGUGAAAUUCGUAGAUAUUAGGAAGAACACCAGUGACGAAGGCGCCUUACUGGCUCGGUACUGACGCUGAGGUACGAAAGCGUGGGGA